UACGGGGGGGGUAAGCGUUGUUCGGAAUUACUGGGCGUAAAGGGUGCGUAGGCGGCGCGGUAAGUCGGGUGUGAAAUCUCGGAGCUUAACUCCGAAACUGCAUUCGAUACUGCCGUGCUUGAGGACUGGAGAGGAGACUGGAAUUUACGGUGUAGCGGUGAAAUGCGUAGAUAUCGUAAGGAAGACCAGUGGCGAAGGCGGGUCUCUGGACAGUUCCUGACGCUGAGGCACGAAGGUCAGGGGAGCAAACGGG
RNAcentral lists this ribosomal RNA (253 nucleotides) under uncultured bacterium. RNAcentral's name for it is "partial 16S ribosomal RNA". It matches the Rfam family "Bacterial small subunit ribosomal RNA", at positions 524 to 776 of the family's 1533-position model. The record is from RNAcentral.